CUUUACUCUUGAGACUUCCCGAUCAACCUCAAACCUGCAACACUGGGGUUAGGGGAGAGGGGUGAGCUAAAAAGCCCAGUAAGUAGAAACAAAGAAAACAGUUCAUUAAUUACAUGCUUUCAUAAAAUGCAUCACAGCACAAACAAAUCAUAUCACGGAUUGGACCCAACCCCAAAACAUCCCUAAGCUAUUUGCCCGGCCACCAUAGAGGGCACCACAGGACUUCGUAAUGCCUGGCCCAGCCAGGUCUUAUCCAUAGGGCUAGUGGGGUCGUCCUUGGUCCAAUCUUCAUCAACAGUAAAUAAUGCAAUGCUUCAUAUUCGUGUAACUAGUGCAAUCAACCUAUUACAUAUAAACAUGAUGCAUGAGCAUGCUUUAGGCAUUUGAUUUCAUAAAAUAAAGAUUAAGUUUAGUUCUACUCACCUCUGGCAGACGCUGGACUAACUCUGCAACAGCUAACACUGAUGGCCUCCUCGAUCCCUCGGGUCCGGUCCUACACAGGUGGACUCGAAUGAGGUGCCAACACACUCUAAACAACUCAUAAACAACUCCCCAAAAACCCUCUAAAACAUCACUUAAACAUGCAUAGAAAAC
RNAcentral lists this long non-coding RNA (594 nucleotides) under Manihot esculenta (cassava). RNAcentral describes it as "long non-coding RNA (MESC_LNC006037)". The record is from RNAcentral. Lineage: Eukaryota; Viridiplantae; Streptophyta; Magnoliopsida; Malpighiales; Euphorbiaceae.